UGCUCUGGGUCCCUGACGCAGCCUCUACAUGAGCUCACUGUAUUUUCCUUAUAUGAUCAGGCACCAUUUCUGGUGGCUCUGCUUGCCUGGAAACUGAAAGGAUUAUGAAAAUGUGACCAGCAAAGUCUGGCAGGGAACCAGGCA
Molecule: non-coding RNA, 144 nt
Organism: Cynocephalus volans (Philippine flying lemur)
Lineage: Eukaryota; Metazoa; Chordata; Mammalia; Dermoptera; Cynocephalidae
Product: small Cajal body-specific RNA 17
Exons: 1
Source: RefSeq, a predicted model, not a curated record